RNAcentral lists this ribosomal RNA (502 nucleotides) under uncultured bacterium. RNAcentral's name for it is "partial 16S ribosomal RNA". It matches the Rfam family "Bacterial small subunit ribosomal RNA", at positions 28 to 507 of the family's 1533-position model. The record is from RNAcentral.
GACGAACGCUGGCGGCGUGCCUAAUACAUGCAAGUCGAACGAACCGCGACUAGGUGCUUGCACUUGGUCAAGGUGAGUGGCGAACGGGUGAGUAACACGUGGGUAACCUACCUCAUAGUGGGGGAUAACAGUCGGAAACGACUGCUAAUACCGCAUAGGACAUAGGAUCACAUGAUUCUGUGAGGAAAGGUGGCGCAAGCUAUCGCUAAGAGAUGGACCCGCGGUGCAUUAGCUAGUUGGUAGGGUAAAGGUCUACCAAGGCGAUGAUGCAUAGCCGACCUGAGAGGGUGAUCGGCCACAUUGGGACUGAGACACGGCCCAAACUCCUACGGGAGGCAGCAGUAGGGAAUCUUCCGCAAUGGACGCAAGUCUGACGGAGCAACGCCGCGUGAGUGAAGAAGGUCUUCGGAUCGUAAAGCUCUGUUGUUAGAGAAGAACAGCGCAUAGAGUAACUGUUAUGCGUGUGACGGUAUCUAACCAGAAAGCCACGGCUAACUACGUG